This 2300-nucleotide long non-coding RNA is filed under the name Homo sapiens (human). RNAcentral's name for it is "HSALNT0326486". The record is from RNAcentral. Lineage: Eukaryota; Metazoa; Chordata; Mammalia; Primates; Hominidae.
GCCACUGACCGCUCGGCGAGCCAGCGGGAGAGGAUUAGGGCUCCCGAGGCAACUUGCUCGGGGCUCAGGCCGUUCUCCCCCGAAGCUCGGGCUGCCGGGCUGUUCUGGCUCUGGCCUCCCUCUCCUCCUCUUCCUCUUCCUUCUGUCCCCUCCCGCGUUCCUUCCCGGCCGCGCCGCCUGCGCCCUCGCCUCCUGUGGCGCUGCUCCUCCGCCCUGCGCUCCUGGGGUCCCCGCAGUCCGGCUGGCCGCGUUGCGCGCGGGGCUCACUUUCUGCCGCCGGUGGCGAGUGGCUGAACUCCUAAGUGACCAGGAACAGACGAUUUUUAACCGAGUUCUGCUGCGUGGAGCCCAGGUUGGCGCUAGUGAGUGCAGUGUGCUGACCCAAGUGGUGGUGGCCCAAGGACGCGCUGACCCGUACAUUUGGCAAAGCUUUCAUUAAAUGUAUCAGAUUCUCGCGGAAGUGGUUGCAGUCCGGAGAGUGAAACAGCUAUCUCUCAAGUCCUGACCGGUUCAGCUGAAAUCUACAUUUGCACUGAAUCUGGCAAAACACGGACGGGUCCGCCCGAGAUCUCAGGAAACCCAGAGCAAGUUACCUCCAUGUAGUUGAUCAUUCUUUCUGAAAGGACGGACACCAUUUACCCCACUGCAAUCCUGUCCAACGGGCAGCUCUGAGUUUAGCUUUAGCGCCAAAGGAUUGAUUUCCCCCACCCGCUGGAGAUUUACUGGGGACGAGCGGGGGAGGGGAGGCGAAGGUACCUCGGAGGAGGUCAAGUGGGGGAGGAGGAGGAGCAGCAGAAAAUUACCAGCCAAGCAGGGGAGGGAGUUGGAAGCCCGGAAAUAUACCAGGAUGCCUCAAGUAACCUUCCUUUAAGUCUCAGAAUUCAGCCCUCGGAAAACAGCCUCAUAAGGUGUCCUGGGAAGGAGUCCUCGGGUGGGCUGCGGAGGUGAUGUCAAGAGUUACAGCUACUUUAUGAAUUAAACUGACGGCUAAGGCAUGUCGGGACAGUUUAGUGUAAGCUGAAUGGUGCGUGGACGGGGCAACUUUUAAAGAGAGGUGGGCAAUCAUUGGUGGCAUCUACCAGUAUAUUCUGCAUGUAACAGUAGUUUGGAAGCUGAAGAAAAACCCCUCAAAUCCCAGUAAAUGCCCGGUCAGUUCGAGAGAGAUUUUAGGGACAAUUUUGAAGGUCGCUGUCUGCUCCAACUCCGCAGAGAUGAACAAGAGUGUGAACUCUGGCGCGGGUGUGUUUAGAAUUAUCUACGACUUCAGAUCCAUGCUGUUGAAACUCAUCAAUUCUUUGUGACUUCACGUGGAGAGAAGAAUUUGCCCUGCCUCCCUACCUGCUAAAUGCCGACUGAGAAAAGGGGCCCAGGAGACGACCCCUUUCAGAAAGAACGUCACUUCAUCAACUCGGCUGAGUUAUUAACUUGCUCCCCGAAAGGUCAACAACGCCUUCUCUUCUCAGCCGCACCGCGCGGAGAUCAAUCGCUUUACCCUAGGUAGCCUCUUGUUCAGGGCUCAGGAACUCCUGUCUUAAGGUCCUUCUGGGGCUCAGAAGCUGUGUUGUGUAUGUUCUUUCCAAGAAUCCCACCUGUCUGCUUUCAAGCACACACGGCGCUAGAAAUUUAGCCUAGCCUGAGUCCUGGGAUGAGAGAAGAGCUAAACAAAGAGACCCCAACCGUCCCCUUGGCCCCCUGCCCCGCCGUUUUGCAGUUUGCCAACCUUCUAGCUAGACAGCCCCCUAAGUCUCCGUGUUGCGAGUGAAAGAGAAUUUUUCUAUUUCAUCUUCCCAUUGACCGAAGCAGAAAAAUUGAACCGAAUCUACGCCCCUUGUUCUGAUUCCUGCUAGAGGAAAACAGAAAAUCAUCCCGCAGGUCUCUUUCAGUCCCUGGAUGGCGAGCGCAGCCCCUGGGAGGCCACACUUAGUUCUUUAUUGUGAAUCUCUCGCUACUCAAGUUCGUUCGGGACCAGGGCCUCGGAUGGCCUCGGUUGCCCGUAAGUACGCGAAAGAAGAGGUGAAUCCAAUCGCUGGCCUAGAGGAUAGUGAUCAGACAACCCGAGGAUUACUAAACAAGGGGCGGCGGUGUCCCUGUCUCAUGGGGUUGGCGUGGGGCGGGGGGUAGGCAGCAAGAUCCUCCAGGCUCCUGGAUGCAAAGAGUGAGAAAGAAAGCGCAGCCUCUGGCAGCCUGCUUAUAAAUGCAGCCUUUCGGAAGAUGAAACUUGCAGUCUUAGGUUGUCCUCCUUUAUAUCCAUGUUCCAAUCCUCUGGGCUUUCCUCGAAAUGAAUAAAAUUGUGGAAAUGA